GCAAGUCGACUGGAAUUCUCUUCGGAGUUAGUACGGUGGCGGACGGGUGAGUAACGCGUAAAGAAUUUGCCCUCUAGACUGGGACAACUAACCGAAAGGUUAGCUAAUACCGGAUAUUAUGAGACCUUGGCAUCAAGGACUUAUGAAAGCUAUAUGCGCUAGAGGAGAACUUUGCGUCCCAUUAGCUAGUUGGUAGGGUAAUGGCCUACCAAGGCUUACGGGUAGCCGGCCUGAGAGGGUGAUC
This 244-nucleotide ribosomal RNA is filed under the name uncultured bacterium. RNAcentral's name for it is "partial 16S ribosomal RNA". It matches the Rfam family "Bacterial small subunit ribosomal RNA", at positions 57 to 305 of the family's 1533-position model. The record is from RNAcentral.